UUUUAUUUUAUACUUUAAACCUUGAAUUUAUUUUUUAAACGUUUAUAUUAUUUGAAUGUUUUAUUCAAAUAAUAUAAAAAAUAAUAUAUAUAUUGACAUGGAUUAAACAAAGAUAUAUAUUAUUCUAUGUUGUAUGAACAAAUUGGCAAAAUAGAGAUGGAAGAUAAAAAUA
RNAcentral lists this unclassified non-coding RNA (172 nucleotides) under Borreliella afzelii. Its description in RNAcentral is "partial 5S-23S ribosomal RNA intergenic spacer". The record is from RNAcentral. Lineage: Bacteria; Pseudomonadati; Spirochaetota; Spirochaetia; Spirochaetales; Borreliaceae.